GAUGAACGCUGGCGGCGUGCCUAAUACAUGCAAGUCGAGCGAACAGAUGAGGAGCUUGCUCCUCUGACGUUAGCGGCGGACGGGUGAGUAACACGUGGAUAACCUACCUAUAAGACUGGGAUAACUUCGGGAAACCGGAGCUAAUACCGGAUAAUAUAUUGAACCGCAUGGUUCAAUAGUGAAAGACGGUUUUGCUGUCACUUAUAGAUGGAUCCGCGCCGCAUUAGCUAGUUGGUAAGGUAACGGCUUACCAAGGCAACGAUGCGUAGCCGACCUGAGAGGGUGAUAGGCCACACGGGAACUGAGACACGGUCCAGACUCCUACGGGAGGCAGCAGUAGGGAAUCUGCCGCAAUGGGCGAAAGCCUGACGGAGCAACGCCGCGUGAGUGAUGAAGGUCUUCGGAUCGUAAAACUCUGUUAUUAGGGAAGAACAAAUGUGUAAGUAACUAUGCACGUCUUGACGGUACCUAAUCAGAAAGCCACGGCUAACUACGUG
Molecule: ribosomal RNA, 497 nt
Filed under: uncultured bacterium
Lineage: Bacteria
Description: partial 16S ribosomal RNA
Rfam family: Bacterial small subunit ribosomal RNA
Source: RNAcentral